This 1107-nucleotide long non-coding RNA is filed under the name Canis lupus dingo (dingo). RNAcentral describes it as "lncRNA (ENSCAFG00020012308.1)". Lineage: Eukaryota; Metazoa; Chordata; Mammalia; Carnivora; Canidae. The record is from RNAcentral.
AUGGGGGCUGCGAGGCGACCUCAGCGUGUGCCCAUGGCCAGGGCGCUCCAGGGUGUCACGCCAGGGAGGCUCCACGCCUCUGCAGGGCACCCCAUGCCUUGGAGCUCCCUCACGGCCACGUCUGCUUUUCAGGGCAAACUGGACACCUUGUGUGACUUUGUUCAGUGCUGCAAUCAGAUGCCGUUGCUGUGGUGUCAGCCCAGGAGCAAGCGCCGGUGCUUCAACUUCAGCCUCCAGCCCUGCAGGCGCCUGCCCUGUGGCCCCAGGAUCUGCCUCCCGGCCCCCCAGGAGUGCUUCCCCCUCAGCAGCUGCUGCUCUCGGUACCAGCCCACCCCCCGCAUCUGCUCCCGGCUGCCCUCCAGGAUGCUGCCCCCGCCCCGCGCCCUCUGCGGAACCGCUCUGUCACUCCCGCCCCCGUAGCCCAGCCUCCGACACACCAAACCCCCAAGAUUAUUAAGAGCCCUUUGUGCACUAAAUUAGACACCUGUAUUGAGUCUUGGUUUACAGUCAGCGGAGCUGGAAUUAGUUGCUGUUCCGCACAAGCCUGUUGCCUGCAGAGCAUCGCUCCGCUGUCUGUAGUGCUGCUGCGGGGACACGGCUCCCCCCGCCCCACGGCCUGUGACGCCGGGGGUGGGGGCCAGAUCCUGCUCUUCGAAAAAAAAAAAAGCCCCCAACGUCUCUGAAAUAUGAAUAUGAUGCUGUCUCCUUCUCUAACGUUAUGCAGAGUUUGACUAGUCUCACCUCCUUCACGGCACGUUCCCAGGUAGCCGGGGUGGGUGUCCCAUGCCCUGAAUGUGCCCUAGACGGAGACCAGCACGGAAAGCUCUGCGGCUGCCAGGCGGCAACUCCUUGCAGACACCCUGAGGUGUCGCUGAGCCUGUAGAGCUGCCCCUGCCGUCCCACCAGUCCUCCUACCCCCUGUUGACAGGAGAUGAAAGUCCCUCCGCCUUCACCCUCCCAUCCUGGCUGGUCGUAGUUACGGUUCCGGGUGGAAUUCCUGGAGAUGAGUGUAGGUCACUAUGUCAGGCUGGGGUUUGUAGUCUGUAUGGGGUUGACGGUCAUUCUUUAAGAAAUAAAAGGUUUUCUGGUAAGGCUGGUGUGUGCGUG